RNAcentral lists this ribosomal RNA (253 nucleotides) under uncultured bacterium. Its description in RNAcentral is "partial 16S ribosomal RNA". It matches the Rfam family "Bacterial small subunit ribosomal RNA", at positions 524 to 776 of the family's 1533-position model. The record is from RNAcentral.
UACAGAGGGUGCGAGCGUUGUCCGGAAUCACUGGGCGUAAAGGGCGCGUAGGUGGCGUCGCAACUCGAUGGUGAAAGCUCGGCGCUCAACGCCGAGUCGGCCCUUGAUACUGCGAGGCUGGAGCACUGUAGAGGCUAAUGGAAUUCCGGGUGUAGCGGUGGAAUGCGUAGAGAUCCGGAAGAACACCGGUGGCGAAGGCGGUUAGCUGGGCAGUUGCUGACACUGAGGCGCGACAGCGUGGGGAGCAAACAGG